RNAcentral lists this ribosomal RNA (3073 nucleotides) under Ignavibacteria bacterium. Its description in RNAcentral is "23S ribosomal RNA". It matches the Rfam family "Bacterial large subunit ribosomal RNA". The record is from RNAcentral. Lineage: Bacteria; Pseudomonadati; Ignavibacteriota; Ignavibacteria.
AAAUUUUUGGUUAAGUUACUAAGGGCACACGGUGGAUGCCUUGGCACAAGAAGACGAUGAAGGACGCGGCUACCUGCGAUAAGCCACGGUGAGGUGGAAGCAACCUAAGACCCGUGGAUCUCCGAAUGGGGAAACCCUACCAUCUUAAUAGAUGGUAACUACCAGCUGAAUACAUAGGCUGGUUAGAGACAACCCAGGGAAGUGAAACAUCUCAGUACCUGGAGGAAAAGAAAACAAUAGUGAUUCCCUGAGUAGUGGCGAGCGAAAGGGGAAAAACUUGCCUAAACCGAUUGACACGUAAAAGCCUGCAAGCGUUGUGUCAGUCGGGGUAGUGGGAAUUAUCCAGACCGAAUUGCAGUAAGGUCGGAGAGUCAAAAACCGAAAAAUUAGCCGAAUUACUUGGAAAAGUAAACCAUAGAGAGUGAAAGUCUCGUAGGCGAAAAUUUUUCGGCUCUCUGGGAUAAUCUCCCGAGUACCACGGAAUAAGUGGAAGUCUGUGGGAAUCUGCCAGAACCAUCUGGUAAGGCUAAAUACUCUCUUGUGACCGAUAGUGAACCAGUACCGUGAGGGAAAGGUGAAAAGCACCCUUAAGAAGGGAGUGAAAUAGAACCUGAAACCGUGUGCUUACAAACGGUCGGAGUCCAUUUAUAAUGGAUGACGACGUGCCUUCUGGAUAAUGAGCCAACGAGUUGCUCGUGCGUUGCAAGGUUAAUCCGCUUAGCGGAGUAGCCGGAGCGAAAGCGAGUCCGAAUAGGGCGUUAAGUAACGCGCGGCAGACGCGAAACCGGGUGAUCUACCGUUGGCCAGGAUGAAGUGGCGGUAACACGCCAUGGAGGUCCGAACCGAUGUGGGUUGAAAACCGCUCGGAUGAGCUGACGGUAGGAGCGAAAGACCAAUCAAACUCGGUGAUAGCUCGUACUCCCCGAAAUAGCUUUAGGGCUAGCCUCGUAGUAUAGUGUCAUGGAGGUAGAGCACUGAUUGGGCUAGGGCCGUCACAACGGUACCAAACCCAGACAAACUCCGAAUUCCAUUGACAUGUUCUACGGGAGUCAGGCAGUGAGGGAUAAGCUCCAUUGCCAAAAGGGAAACAACCCAGAUCGCCAGCUAAGGUCCCCAAAUACCAGUUAACAGAGAAAGGAUGUUGAGUUGCUCAGACAACUAGGAUGUUGGCUUAGAAGCAGCCAUUCAUUUAAAGAGUGCGUAAUAGCUCACUAGUCAAGCGACUCGGCGUCGACAAUUCUCGGGACUCAAACUGGUUACCGAAGCUGCGAAUCCCGAUUAAUUCGGGGUGGUAGGGGAGCAUUCUAUGUAGGAACCACGAAGUGGUAUCCCGACUUUGUCGGGAUGAAGGUGCGGCGUGAGCCGUGCUGGACUGCAUAGAAAAGCAAAUGUUGGCAUAAGUAACGAUAAGGUCGAUGAAAAAUCGGCCCACCGAAAGUCUAAGGUUUCCUGAGCAACGUUAAUCGUCUCAGGGUUAGUCGGACCCUAAGCCGAGGCUGAAAGGCGUAGGUGAUGGGAAACAGGUUAAUAUUCCUGUACCUGGUGAAUUUCGUUUGACUCUAAGGGGUGACGCAGGAGUGAAAGGUCAGCCACCUGCCGGCCUUAGGUGGUCUAAGCGGGUAGAUGGAGGAUGUAGGUAAAUCCGCAUCCUCGUUAACAUCGAGACGCGACGGGGAGUCCGUAAGGACACAAACUGACCCUAAUCACACUGCCAAGAAAAACCUCGUAGAGGAGAGAUUCAUCAGUCCGUACCGCAAACCGACACAGGUAGACGGGAUGAGUAUUCUAAGGUGCUCGAGUGAGCCGUGGUUAAGGAACUCGGCAAAUUGACCCCGUAACUUCGGGAUAAGGGGUGCCCUAAGUAGGUAACAAUCCUCGCGGUUGGAGCCGAACAGGGUCGCAGUGAAAUGGGCCAAGCGACUGUUUAUCAAAAACACAGGUCUCUGCGAAGUCAAUUAAGACGACGUAUAGGGACUGACACCUGCCCGGUGCUGGAAGGUUAAGGGGAUGGGUUAUCUCUCCGAGCGAUCGGAGGGAGAAGCUCUGAACCGAAGCCCCAGUAAACGGCGGCCGUAACUAUAACGGUCCUAAGGUAGCGAAAUUCCUUGUCGGGUAAGUUCCGACCUGCACGAAUGGUGUAACGACUUGGUCACUGUCUCAACCACGGGCUCGGUGAAAUUGUGGUACCGGUGAAGACGCCGGUUACCCGCAUAUGGACGGAAAGACCCCGUGCACCUUUACUGCACCCUAGCAUUGGGUUCGAGUAAGGCAUGUGUAGGAUAGGUGGGAGACUAUGAAGCCUCGACGCUAGUCGGGGUGGAGUCGACGGUGAAAUACCACCCUUGUCUUAUUUGAAUUCUAACCUCGAUCCUUGAAUCAGGGUCAGGGACAGUGUUAGGCGGGUAGUUUGACUGGGGCGGUCGCCUCCUAAAUGGUAACGGAGGCUCCCAAAGGUACCCUCAGCACGGUCGGUAAUCGUGCGUCGAGUGUAAAGGCAUAAGGGUGCUUAACUGCGAGACCUACAAGUCGAGCAGGUGCGAAAGCAGGGCUUAGUGAUCCGACGGUUGCGAAUGGAAGCGCCGUCGCUCAAAGGAUAAAAGGUACGCCGGGGAUAACAGGCUGAUCUUGCCCAAGAGUUCACAUCGACGGCAAGGUUUGGCACCUCGAUGUCGGCUCAUCGCAUCCUGGGGCUGAAGAAGGUCCCAAGGGUUUGGCUGUUCGCCAAUUAAAGCGGUACGUGAGCUGGGUUCAGAACGUCGUGAGACAGUUCGGUCCCUAUCCUAUGCGGGCGCAGGAUGUUUGAGAAGAGUCGCUCUUAGUACGAGAGGACCGGAGCGAACGAACCUCUAGUGUACCAGUUGUCACGCCAGUGGCAGCGCUGGGUAGCUAUGUUCGGACGUGAUAAGCGCUGAAAGCAUCUAAGCGCGAAACACUCUUCAAGAUGAGACAUCCCUCUCCGAUUAUUCGGAGCUAAAGACCCCUGGGAGAUUACCAGGUUGAUAGGCUGCAGGUGUAAGCCCAGUAAUGGGUUAAGCCGAGCAGUACUAAUAGGUCGUGAGACUUAACCGUUUAU